This 85-nucleotide transfer RNA is filed under the name Photobacterium damselae subsp. piscicida. Its description in RNAcentral is "tRNA-Leu". It matches the Rfam family "tRNA". From Rfam's summary of the family: Transfer RNA (tRNA) molecules are approximately 80 nucleotides in length. Their secondary structure includes four short double-helical elements and three loops (D, anti-codon, and T loops). Further hydrogen bonds mediate the characteristic L-shaped molecular structure. tRNAs have two regions of fundamental functional importance: the anti-codon, which is responsible for specific mRNA codon recognition, and the 3' end, to which the tRNAs corresponding amino acid is attached (by aminoacyl-tRNA synthetases). tRNAs cope with the degeneracy of the genetic code in two manners: having more than one tRNA (with a specific anti-codon) for a particular amino acid; and 'wobble' base-pairing, i.e. permitting non-standard base-pairing at the 3rd anti-codon position. The record is from RNAcentral. Lineage: Bacteria; Pseudomonadati; Pseudomonadota; Gammaproteobacteria; Vibrionales; Vibrionaceae.
GCCUUGGUGGUGGAAUUGGUAGACACAAGGGAUUUAAAAUCCUCGGCGUUCGCGCUGUGCCGGUUCAAGUCCGGCCGGGGCACCA